Molecule: ribosomal RNA, 902 nt
Filed under: uncultured Bacillota bacterium
Lineage: Bacteria; Bacillati; Bacillota
Description: bacterial SSU rRNA
Rfam family: Bacterial small subunit ribosomal RNA
Source: RNAcentral
UAUGGCUCAGGACGAACGCUGGCGGCGUGCCUAACACAUGCAAGUCGAACGGAACUGUUUUGAAAGAUUUCUUCGGAAUGAAUUUGAUUUAGUUUAGUGGCGGACGGGUGAGUAACGCGUGAGUAACCUGCCUUCAAGAGGGGGAUAACAUUCUGAAAAGAAUGCUAAUACCGCAUGAUAUAUCGGAACCACAUGGUUUUGAUAUCAAAGAUUUUAUCGCUUGAAGAUGGACUCGCGUCCGAUUAGUUAGUUGGUGAGGUAACGGCUCACCAAGACCGCGAUCGGUAGCCGGACUGAGAGGUUGAACGGCCACAUUGGGACUGAGGCACGGCCCAGACUCCUACGGGAGGCAGCAGUGGGGGAUAUUGCGCAAUGGGGGCAACCCUGACGCAGCAACGCCGCGUGAAGGAUGAAGGUUUUCGGAUUGUAAACUUCUUUUAUUAAGGACGAAAAAUGGCGGUACUUAAUGAAUAAGCUCCGGCUAACUACGUGCCAGCAGCCGCGGUAAUACGUAGGGAGCAAGCGUUGUCCGGAUUUACUGGGUGUAAAGGGUGCGUAGGCGGCUUUGCAAGUCAGAUGUGAAAUCUAUGGGCUCAACCCAUAAACUGCAUUUGAAACUGUAGAGCUUGAGUGAAGUAGAGGCAGGCGGAAUUCCCCGUGUAGCGGUGAAAUGCGUAGAGAUGGGGAGGAACACCAGUGGCGAAGGCGGCCUGCUGGGCUUUAACUGACGCUGAGGCACGAAAGCGUGGGUAACAAACAGGAUUAGAUACCCUGGUAGUCCACGCUGUAAACGAUGAUUACUAGGUGUGGGGGGUCUGACCCCUUCCGUGCCGGAGUUAACACAAUAAGUAAUCCACCUGGGGAGUACGGCCGCAAGGUUGCAACUCAAAUGAAUUGACGGA